UUGUUGCACUUGCAGUCAC
Molecule: small nuclear RNA, 19 nt
Filed under: Arabidopsis thaliana (thale cress)
Lineage: Eukaryota; Viridiplantae; Streptophyta; Magnoliopsida; Brassicales; Brassicaceae
Description: snRNA_17868
Source: RNAcentral